Oenanthe melanoleuca is the source of this 356-nucleotide long non-coding RNA. RefSeq lists it as uncharacterized. The transcript has 3 exons. Lineage: Eukaryota; Metazoa; Chordata; Aves; Passeriformes; Muscicapidae. The record is from RefSeq and is a predicted model, not a curated record.
GCUGAGGGGGCGCCGCCGCCGCCGUGGCCUUUGGAAGGCCUCGGGUGUCCCGGGAGUCCCGUAGUGCCACGUCCCAUCGGCAGCUAACUGUGUUCUGAAUCCGAACUGUGUUCUGAAUCUGGAUGUUCCUCGCUGCUCCAUCUUUGGUACCGGAAAAUUAUUUUUAAAAAGGGGCACCUUCCACUAUCCCAGGUUGCUCCAAGCCCCAUCCACCCUGGCCUUGGACGUGUCCAGGGAUGGGGCAGCCACAACUUUCUGGGGACAACCUCCAGAGGGAGCACCGCAGGUUCCACUCACACCCCCACAUACACGAAGAUGCUCACGGGAGGAAUUAACAAUCUCUCUAUGUGUGUGUA